This 264-nucleotide ribosomal RNA is filed under the name uncultured archaeon. RNAcentral describes it as "partial 16S ribosomal RNA". It matches the Rfam family "Archaeal small subunit ribosomal RNA", at positions 718 to 982 of the family's 1478-position model. The record is from RNAcentral.
AGUCACUGACAUUAGAUACCCCGGUAGUCCCAGCCGUAAACAAUGUGCGUUAGGUGUGUCGGUAACCACGUGUUACUGAUGCGCCGAAGAGAAAUCGUGAAACGCACCACCUGGGAAGUACGGUCGCAAGGCUGAAACUUAAAGGAAUUGGCGGAGGAGCACCACAACAGGUGGAGCCUGCGGUUUAAUUGGAUUCAACGCCGGACAUCUCACCGGAUAAGACAGCUGAAUGAUUGUCAAUCUGAAGGUUUACAUGACUAGCUG